This 19-nucleotide microRNA is filed under the name Capra hircus (goat). RNAcentral's name for it is "chi-miR-154a-5p". Its record names the gene chi-miR-154a-5p. Lineage: Eukaryota; Metazoa; Chordata; Mammalia; Artiodactyla; Bovidae. The record is from miRBase by way of RNAcentral.
UAGGUUAUCCGUGUAGCCU